RNAcentral lists this ribosomal RNA (504 nucleotides) under uncultured bacterium. Its description in RNAcentral is "partial 16S ribosomal RNA". It matches the Rfam family "Bacterial small subunit ribosomal RNA", at positions 29 to 523 of the family's 1533-position model. The record is from RNAcentral.
AUUGAACGCUGGCGGCAGGCCUAACACAUGCAAGUCGAACGGUAGCACAGAGAGCUUGCUCUCGGGUGACGAGUGGCGGACGGGAGAGUAACGUCUGGGAAACUGCCCGAUGGAGGGGGAUAACUACUGGAAACGGUAGCUAAUACCGCAUAACGUCGCAAGACCAAAGUGGGGGACCUUCGGGCCUCACACCAUCGGAUGUGCCCAGAUGGGAUUAGCUAGUAGGUGGGGUAAUGGCUCACCUAGGCGACGAUCCCUAGCUGGUCUGAGAGGAUGCCCAGCCAAACCGGAACUGAGACACGGUCCAGACCCCUACGGGAGGCAGCAGUGGGGAAUAUUGCACAAUGGGCGAAAGCCUGAUGCAGCCAUGCCGCGUGUAUGAAGAAGGCCUUCGGGUUGUAAAGUACUUUCAGCGGGGAGGAAGGCGGUGAAGUUAAUAACUUCACCGAUUGACGUUACCCGCAGAAGAAGCACCGGCUAACUCCGUGCCAGCAGCCGCCGUAA